UGCGUUAAAAAAAAUGGGCUGCUCCCGUCGCAAAUGAGGCGACCCGAUUUCAAAUCGCCAUAAAUGUUGUUUUGACGACGUCUAAACUUGUGUCGCUUCCUCUUCGUCACCGCGUCGUCGUCCUUUUUUUUUCUUCCCCAGAGAAAACGAGCGCGCGAUUGACGAAUGAAAAGGGCUUUACGUGGCAAAGACGGUGCGAAUGAAAGACCAUGCGCGCCACUUACGACGCCCGAGGGAGCGCGCGUAAUCUAAAUUGGAUAUAGGGGGCAUUAUUACGCAACAUUAUGCGUUGAGGUGGACUAAUUGCGCGUCCGGACGAGUUCAACAGCUGAGUGGCAGGGCUCUGGAUUGGCUAAGUGAUGAAAUGAUGACCCUAUUAUGAGAAGCGACUCCAAAAUGAGAGGUAUCAGAAGAAGAUUGCACCAUUCUCUCACUGCAACGCCGUCCUCCCGCACCAGACUGCCGGCUGCGCAGAUGAUGAUUGAUUCGCUCGAGAUGGAUCGCAGGAAGCACCCAUUGAUUUCCCAGUGUUUUAUCAAAAAUAUUUAUUUACAUUUGUACCCACAGCUUCACCCGCGACCCGCUAUUCCAAAUGAGGGAUGUUAUAAAAAGGAUAAUUCUCCCUCCUCCACGACAAGACAAAUUACCCGUAAUAUUA
This is a long non-coding RNA of Gasterosteus aculeatus aculeatus (three-spined stickleback), 658 nucleotides long. The record is from Ensembl. NCBI's taxonomy places the organism in Eukaryota, Metazoa, Chordata, Actinopteri, Perciformes, Gasterosteidae.